GAGUUCCCAGAAAUUAAUUUUAAAUGUUUAGCCAACAAAAGCCACAAAAAGAAUUUAUUUCAGUAAAGUAGGAAAUAUUUGACAUAAUUAAGUUCUACACCAAAAAACAUUGGAUUAGAAUAUCCUUUGAAUUUUAGUAUAUGUUUUUUUGGCAUUUCAUGAAAAUUAGAGUUACUGUCCUAGGUUGUGCUAAUUGUUAUUUCAUCUUUUAUUCUUAGAAUUUGGUGGUUAUCUAUCUUGUCAUGGACUGAUGAUGGGUUGUACUAAAUAUGAGCAUCCAGUGUGAAAUGUACAUAGUAUAUUGUAAGUUAUGUUGUAAGGAUAUCUGUUUCAAUCAGGUAAGUAAACUGCUUGGACUGUAACAAUAUUUCAGUAUCUCACAAAUGAAAAUACUGAGCCAACACACAAAAGAUCACAGAUUCGAAGCUUGCUCGUGACCCAAUUUUGUUCAGUCUAUCCAGCUGUGAAACGGAUACCAGCUAAUAAUUGGAGUUAACUUGUGAUGGACUGGCAUCUCAUCUAUAGGGUGUGUGUAACCAUUCUCGUGAAACGGAUACCAGCUAAUAGUUGGAGUUAACUUGUGAUGGACUGGCAUCUCAUCUAUAGGGUGUGUGUAACCAUUCUCAUGAAACGGAUACCAGCUAAUAGUUGGAGUUAACUUGUAAUGGAUCUAUAGGGUGUGUGUAACCAUUCUCAUCAGCUCUACCACUUGAAACUAGAGUUAAGCACUGAUCCUAUGUCCAUUUCAAGACUAACUUACUUUUACCUCUGGAGUUUUUUAUAUCACUUUACAGUAACUUAUGUUAAUUUAGGUAUAAGAAUAAUGUUAGGACAUUGCACCAAAUUAACUUAGGCUACUGUAUGGUGACUUAAAAGGACUCAAAAACCCUAUAGGUAUAAUAUACACAUCACCAUUAUAAGAGGCUUAAUUGUAUUUCUUUAGUUUUUUACCCAAGCUGUGGUGAUGAGCCUUGAAUAGGAAAAACUGCAGUCCACAGCAGAGGGUAUGGCCAAUCAGAGAAUGCAUUAGGCCUUUAUGUCACAGAUUCACUUUUCAGUUUUAGCUUUGGUGAAAAAGAAAAGAAAUCUGUGACACACACACACACACACAUAUUUAUAUAUAUAUAUAUGUAAUGAAAUAAAUAGCUUCAAUACUAUUAUUUUCAUUAAUUGUUAAUAGGUGAUUUUAAAAUCAUCACUAUUGAUUGAAAUGAAACCACCCUAAAUUUUUACUAUAUGUUACUCCCAACCUAUACCCUAAGUGUUUUCAUUUCAUUUUUACUUUAGGAAUUAGAAGAACAUUUAAGGGUAACUGCCUUCCCACAACUGGUUGCAGACAGUGGAAGGCAGUAAGAGUCGAGACAUUAACACGAUGAAGUUGGAUGAAGUAAAACCCAAAGUGUUUGUAUAAAUAAAAGUUAUUCGACACAGUCAUCUUUAAUUUUAAACUGUGUUUUCCUCUCAGUGAAUCAAUCACUAGAAGCAGUAGUAUAUUUUACAAGAAUCUUGAAGAAAGAAAAUCGAGGAAACCGUUUCAAGAGAUUCCAUAAGCUUGACUAUAAGUCAUUUGUAAAGUUUGUUACAUCUGUCUGGCACUGUGAAGAUAUUGCAGGAUUUAGAUUGAACUCUUGCUACUAACUUCUUAUAUAAAGUAAUUGAAAGCUAAUUCAAGAAUCUGGAUGGAACCCCUGAUGUGUAAUGAAAAUGGUGCAGAAAAAAUAAAUGAAAAUACUGUUUCAAUUGAAUGGAUAGUUUUAUUGUAGAUUAGAUAUCUAGAUAAUUUACUUAUGAUGUAGCAGGGUAAGAUUAAUUUUUAAAGUUAUAUUAAAAUUAUUUUGUUACAGUCUGUUAUGAAAAAUAUUAUCCUGUCUGUCUUUCCAGAAAGUAGAGUUAUCAAAGAUUUUGACAGUCUUUGAAAUUUAACCAUAUAGACUCCAUCUUCUCUAAAAUAUUAACGGUACUAAAGAAUGUUUAGCUGUUAUGUAUCUUACCAUGAAACUGUAAAAUAUUACCGGUACUAAAGAAUGUUUAGCUGUUAUGUAUCUUACCAUGAAACUGUAAAAUCAU
Molecule: long non-coding RNA, 2067 nt
Filed under: Limulus polyphemus (Atlantic horseshoe crab)
Lineage: Eukaryota; Metazoa; Arthropoda; Merostomata; Xiphosura; Limulidae
Description: uncharacterized LOC111083588, transcript variant X1
Source: RNAcentral